AUUGCUUCUAAGCCUAAGAUCAAGUGUAGUAUCUGUUCUUAUCAGUGUAAUAUCUGAUACGCUCCCUCUCUGGGGACCAUAUCUAUUAAAUGGAUUUUUGAGAACGGGGGCCGAUUUCAAAGCUUGCUUCUGUCGCCCUAUGCAUUGACCCGAUAUGGCAUUAUCUGUCUAUAUAUAUAUAUAUAUA
This is a small nuclear RNA of Hyla sarda, 187 nucleotides long. RefSeq annotates it as U2 spliceosomal RNA. Lineage: Eukaryota; Metazoa; Chordata; Amphibia; Anura; Hylidae. The record is from RefSeq and is a predicted model, not a curated record. The transcript has a single exon.